This 496-nucleotide ribosomal RNA is filed under the name uncultured bacterium. Its description in RNAcentral is "partial 16S ribosomal RNA". It matches the Rfam family "Bacterial small subunit ribosomal RNA", at positions 29 to 507 of the family's 1533-position model. The record is from RNAcentral.
AUGAACGCUGGCGGCGUGCCUAAUACAUGCAAGUCGAGCGAACAGACGAGGAGCUUGCUCCUCUGACGUUAGCGGCGGACGGGUGAGUAACACGUGGAUAACCUACCUAUAAGACUGGGAUAACUUCGGGAAACCGGAGCUAAUACCGGAUAAUAUAUUUAACCGCAUGGUUCAAUAGUGAAAGACGGUUUUGCUGUCACUUAUAGAUGGAUCCGCGCCGCAUUAGCUAGUUGGUAAGGUAACGGCUUACCAAGGCGACGAUGCGGAGCCGACCUGAGAGGGUGAUCGGCCACACUGGAACUGAGACACGGUCCAGACUCCUACGGGAGGCAGCAGUAGGGAAUCUUCCGCAAUGGGCGAAAGCCUGACGGAGCAACGCCGCGUGAGUGAUGAAGGUCUUCGGAUCGUAAAACUCUGUUAUUAGGGAAGAACAAAUGUGUAAGUAACUAUGCACGUCUUGACGGUACCUAAUCAGAAAGCCACGGCUAACUACGUG